ACACGAGGCCGACGACGUUCCUCACACGCCCGACUUACACAAAACCCCCAUAGAUGAAUUGAAAGCUAAUAUAAAUAGGAUCGAUUCGCAUCAUGGUAAUUUAGAAUCUUUGGGCAGAUUGCAUGAGUUAUAAGCUCGUUAUUGUCAUAAAUAUGUGUACGUUUUAGUUCUGCUUGGCGAUAAAGUUCUUAAGUGUACACAUAUUUAUUAUUAAAUCCAAGUAGGCAUACGGUCGCCGUCAAAUAUAUGUUUACAUUUUUCGCCUUAUUACAAAGGAGUAAGGUGCAAAAGUGUAUAAAUAUCUUUGACGUCGACUGUACAUGUUACAUUUUCAGGCACACGGUAGCAUUGUUUGGUGUCAACAGUAAAAGCUACAAGCAAGUCAAAAUUUAAUACAUACUAUAUGCCUGAAAAAGUUACAUGUACCUACACAUGUAGAGUAUUAAUGUGCACUCGAAUCGAUUGACUCUAAGCGCCAUUUUCACCAUUCCACUAACCCGUUAAACUGUUAACCCAGUGUCAAAAGUUACUGGUAACCAUGGUAACUCCAGGUUUAACCGGUUAACCCCAGGUUAGUAUAUGGUGCAGGUGGCCCUAAGAGUGGAGAUCCUAUUGAGCUCAUUAUGUCGGUAUUCAGCUUUUAAUUGCAUUAUAGUAUAUAGUUCACUUUUGAAUGUCAAUUAAUGUGGUGUCAUAUUUUGUUUUCUUGGUCCUCUGUUCAAUGGCCCACAAUUUUCAAAAGUCUUUUGUGAACAUCUAAGAAUGACUAUUAGAUAGCGGUUUAGGUUUUUACUUCAGAUUAAAAGAGACAAUAAUCAGUAUAAGGGCUUUGAAUUACGGUUAGGUUUAAAAUCUUACUGAGAUAUGGCUCGACGCGGGCGCGAAGUAUUAAGAGUGAUAUGCGCGUUUAACGGUCUGCCAUCUUGUGGUCUGAAUCGCAAACAUAAACAUGUACAUUGCCAAAGCAAGUGCUGCCGUUCUCGUAGUACGUUUUCUUGUGCAUAGUAGGUUCUGCCAUCUUGUGGGCUACAUCGGAAGCAUAAACUUCACAUUUAAGCCUCGUGCCAAAAAAAUGACUGCUCCUAUGCUGCCCCCAAUAGUUCAUGAGCAAUAUCUUCGUGCUCUGUGGCGGGCAUAUGACAGCAGCGUUUUUUUUUAUUAUCUAUGGUACAGUCAUAGAGGUAAGCUAACAUAAAUGUAUUUAUAGCCAAUCGUGGCAAGUGAUUAUUUCUGUUGUUUUACCUGUAGAUUUGUUACUGUGAUCCUACAAAUAUAUAAACCAAUAUGUAUUGUAGUUGUAGUUUAAGAUUAACUUUGUCCGAUGUCCGUUCGUCCCUCUCGCACUUACAUACUUGCUGGUAAAGGACGAAUGGUUUACUGCCUUUUUUAGUUACAUCCAAAUGAAUAAUAGUAUCAGUCAUUCAAAGUACUUAUCGUAAAAUUUGUUGAUAGUAAAUGAAGGCCUGUAAAACCUUUUGCGGCCUAUUAUCGAAGAACUAUAUUUUGUCGACCAAAUGUGGACCUUAUUCUAAUGUCGUAAGGUCUAUUUGGUGUCAGUUGAGUAUGUUUUACUUUGUACAUACGUAUUUGUAUAAAAUGGUACAGUUAGCUGCAAAACAUCUGCUUGUCAGUGCAAUAGUUAAGAUAUUAUUGUGUUGUUGUAGAUAUUUUGCAACUAACUGUAUAUUUAUGUAGUGUAUUGUAUAUAGUAUAUAUGUAUACGUCAAAUACAUAUAAAGAUAUCAUUGUUAACGGUAACAGAGUAAUAUUGCAGGGCAACAAACUAAUUUGGUAAAACUAUGUUUGGUUGUUAUAAUUAAUAUAUCUUAUUAAAUAGUAAAUAAUUUGUAAAUCAUACCUUCUUCCAAUCUACCUCUAAAUUAUAAAAAUGUCUAUUAUUAUAAAAGUUAAACUUAUCACAUUUAAUGUUUGAUACUGUUUUAUACUAACAUGUUGUACAGUCAAUGCAAAUUUUUUUUAACCCUUCAAAGACAUACAAAUUAACAUUUCGAAUGUGUUGUCCGGGUUGUCCCGUAUACAUAUCACACAAUAUGGACAGUAAUUUACAGUUUCAAGGUUAUUAAUUCAGAGGCAAUUUUUUCACAAACGCAUACGAAGGUUUAACAGUGUUAGUUUGGGGGGAAAAGCACCGCUUUUUGCCUAAGUAAUCCCAGAAUCUGUCACAAAGUUUCAUUGAUUAGGUGCCGAUUCGCUGGAUCUUGUGUUCCGUUGAGCCGUACUAAAGUAAAUCCGUCGAAACAGGAAUCCGGCAAAACGGGAACUAUACUCUCAUCUGUAUCUUUAGGUAUUUAAUUAAAAGUCAACAAAAUAUACCCUCAAAUAGCUUCUUAACCCAGUUGAGGGUAGAUGAAAACAUUACAUGAUCAAAAUAAUGUAGGUUAAAGUCAGGUAUUUCAGUGACAGAUCCAGGCGCUUUUGUAUUUGGUUGGUUAACCAAUAAAUGUUAUAACUACCCGAAAAUGUACAAAUUAUUUGUUUACUUUUAUUUAAACACCUAAAGAUACAGAGAAUAAUCGUUUCAUUUCAACUGUGUCGGUCUGUUGCAUAUGUAGAUAUAGAACACAGCAUAACCUCCUUAGGCUGUAAUAUGGGCUUCAUAGGGUCCUUAGCUUACGUAAAUUGUAUUACUCAGCAUUUUAUCCCAUCAAUGUAUUAUUUAUUACAACCUUUCUCACAGCUUUGUAAUUUUUAUACGAUUUUCAAUUAGGUUUACGACUUUUGAAAUUAGUAUUUUUCUUAAGAAGACGUUACUUACGUUGUUCUAGGUCUAGUCGGAUAGUGUUUCGCUUCUUAUUUACGAACGUAGAAAUAGUGGUGCCGCGAUAUUAAUCACCUACUCGCAAAUGCCUUUUUUAUAAAACGUUAUUUUUGCAGAUGGGAAAUUUUUGAAAGAACGAAAUCUAAGACGUAAAUGAGCAAUUCUCAAAAAGUUUCUACAUCACAUCUUAGAUUUCUAUAAAAAUUGGUAUGCUGGUAAAGUACAUGAAGCUGAACAACUUCCACCACAUUUCCCAAAAUGUCCCAGAAAGUUUCUAAGUAACAUUCCUUUUUUGUUACCAAAAGUGUAAGGAAGUCUGGUAACAAAAAAGGAUUUUAUAGAAAUCUAAGAUGUGAUGUACAAACUUUUUGAGAAUUGCUCAAAUACUACGAAGUGGUACAAUAAAGUGUAAAAGUGGGUGCAUAUAAUUUACUUAAAAAUAUGUCCCAUAGUUCUUAAUUCACUGACAUAUGAGCUAUGGGACAUAUUUUGACUAUGAUCAGUGGCGGAUUUGCAACGGUACGAAAAAGUACAAAGACGGGACAGACGAAAUACGUAAUUUUAAGAAGGGGCGUUUGGCGAAGUGUGUAUUUUGCGCCAUAUUAACCUUUUCGCCGCCAUUUACUUGAUAUAAAGUCAGUACAUUUCGUGCUCUACGCCACGACUUGAUAUGUUACACGAGUUGCUUACGUGCAAAUGUUGCUUGGCGUUGAUGACACUUUAUUAAAUCAUUGACGUGGCGGCGAAAAGGUUAAAAUACAUAAUAGGAUUCAUAUUUCAUAAUAACCAGUGGCUACUAUAGUUUAUUAGUACUUUUGUUUGCCAUAGCCUACAGUACAAAUUUAAUUUUGCAAAUUUUUCUUGUUAUGUUUACCCUUAACAUUAGGCAUAUCGGUGUUAUAAAUUAAACUUUAUUGCCUAACAAUUAGGUUGAAACUUGGUUGUUUGUUUUAUAUUAUUCAGAUAUUUCUUGAGUCUCAAAUAACUACAUAGAAGUGUAGUGAUUAAUAUUUGUAUGUUUCGGAAAUAAAACAGUCAUCGAAAUAUA
Molecule: long non-coding RNA, 3827 nt
Organism: Cydia fagiglandana
Lineage: Eukaryota; Metazoa; Arthropoda; Insecta; Lepidoptera; Tortricidae
Exons: 2
Source: RefSeq, a predicted model, not a curated record